CUGGAAGACAUAGUCUGGAAGAAAGAUUUUAACUACAUGUUAUUUUGGGACAUUCUACAUGUGGAAGUUAAUGAGGAGAAGCAAUUUAAUUAUUUUACUGCUGACAGUCUUACAGUGGCUUCAUGUAUAACCUCCUGUUUGACAAAUAAAACAACCUGCUAGAGAAAACUUCAACACAUUGUAUCUUAAUACAGUUCCAUGUUAUAUUAAAAUCCAUUUCGCAGCAGCAUUAUUGCAGCCGAGUAGGAGUGCUAUUCUGGAGAGUUAAUGAGAGGAGUUAGUGGCCUAUCAUUUCACAUCCUAAUUCAUUCCACAUUUAUUUCCCCACAUGGACAAGCCCUUAAUCAAACAGCUUUUUUAAAUUUAUUUGUGGGCAACUGUUAGAUUAUUUCAGCCUGUGAUUAAUGGAAAAUGAGACAAAUAGUAGCUUCUAAACUUGGGCACCAUGAACAUGCCACAGCAAUUAUCUCUUGGCUGAGUCUCGGGAGGACUCCAGAGCCCUGAGUCUUUGAAUGCUGCUCAGCCUUGGCUCCUGGGUGGCUCCUGGGUGCUCCAGACCUGUGCGUGGGUCCCUGGGGACGCUGUGGGGUGGGCUGGGUUUUGGCUGGGGGUCCUCUUGCCACCAGUGCCCAGGGAGAUGAGAGCUGGCAGCGCCGUUUCUUUUUGGGCCCUCUCAAUGCUGCUGGGACUUUCUCCACCAUGUGGGACCUUGUUCCCACAGCUCACUGCCGACACCAAAGAGCACAGCCAGGACCAGAAGGCAGAGCUGAGCCAGUGCAUCCUGCUGCAAGCUCGCAUCUACCCAGAGGAGACGAUCCUGUUCCUGGAGUCCCAGCUGGGCCACGAGAGGGAGGCCAUGCGCGUGGCAGCCCUGGGUCUGCUCGGUGCUCUGGCACGCUGUGACGAGCCCGCGAUGGCAGAGAAGCUGCCCCAGGUCGUGGAGGCUGUCAAGCGUGUGUGCAGGGACCCCAGCAUCCGGGCCAGAAACGCCCCCCCCCAUGUUGGAGAGGCUCCGUACUGUAGCCAGGAGAGGCUGCCUAGAGAACGGGCAGAGGCUGCACACAUCAACCUUCGAAAUCCUUGCUUUCCAGGGCCCAAGCAGCACACCCAAGCGUGGAGAUGGCAGACAAGGCCCUCUGUGACUGUGGCACCCUGUGGGCAAUAAAACUCUGUAUGUGGUCUCACCGCUCACUGUGUCCUUGGGGAAAUCCAACUCAACGUGGCCUCACCUCUGCAGACAAAGGGUCUUUUUUGUAGGGCCAGGGGGGCAUGUUGGGGCCUGUGGGGAAAAGCCUGGCAGGAUGAACAAAUGGGUUCUGAAGGAGUUGGUGGACCUAAGCGUGAGGCCUCCCAGGGUUAUCCAUCAAAUGUCACCGCGAUCAGGAAAGGCUGCUGGCAAAUGGGAGAAAGCAAACAUCGCCCCUCUAAAUUGGUUUCUCUAAAACUUCCCUUAAAAAGAAACUGCUUGCCACUCCUGUUCCCAAUGUGUACAUUUUGUGAGAAGCACAGAGAACGUAUACUACUAUAACCUAGAUCUUAACUUUUUCCCCCAGGUUUCACUAAAGAGCCCUUUGCACCCUUUGCACAUUCCAGGAACUCAUCUUGGGCAUCUUUGGAAAACUGCUCUCCAAAGCAGUUCUCAACAUGCGCUUCUGGGAUGGUUUUACUCGGGUGGGCAGCUGAGCUCCACCACAACUGCUCUCUCACUCCCCCUCCUCCAAGAGGAACAGGGAGAAAAGAGGAUGCAAAGGGCUUGAGGGUUGAGAUAAGGACGGGGAGAUUGCUCAACAAUGAUCGUGACAGGCAAAACAGAGUCGGGAGACAGUCACAUUUAUUGCCUAUUCCUAACAAUCUAGAGAAGCGAGAAACAAAGGAAAGAAAUCAAAAAUGCCAUCCACCCUCUUCCACCUCCUCCCCCCAAGCAGCGCAGGGGAACAGGGGAAUGGGGGCUGUGGUCAGUCUAUGGCACUUCAUUCACUUCUCCUUCUUGGUCACUCUUGUCCUCUGUGCUGUGGAGUCGCUCCCAUGGGAUGCAAUCCUUCCCAAACUGAAAUGAAAUUCUUGGCAAAGAAAUUCUUGGCAAAGAAACCAAGUCAGAGGAUUAGUAUUUCUCA
Molecule: long non-coding RNA, 2114 nt
Filed under: Anas platyrhynchos platyrhynchos (common mallard)
Lineage: Eukaryota; Metazoa; Chordata; Aves; Anseriformes; Anatidae
Description: lncRNA (ENSAPLG00000026232.1)
Source: RNAcentral